Long non-coding RNA from Chrysoperla carnea, 229 nucleotides. RefSeq lists it as uncharacterized. The record is from RefSeq and is a predicted model, not a curated record. NCBI's taxonomy places the organism in Eukaryota, Metazoa, Arthropoda, Insecta, Neuroptera, Chrysopidae. The transcript is spliced from 2 exons.
UAAGAUAAACUUUAAGUUGUAAUCUUUUUAUUUUGAAUCUCAUAAAUAAUAAUGCGUUGAGUUUACACGAAAACUUUCGAUGUUAGUCAGCUUGUUUGGAGUGAAAAUGAUUGACAGAUUGAUCAUAAUCGAAGUUAUAGAAAGAAAAAAUAAAUAAGCGACUACUGUAAAUAAUUAAGGUGUGAUGGCAAUUAAAUAUGGUUAAAAUCAGGCUGAUCCAAGUGUAAAG